CUACGGGUUGCUCCAGUAGGGAAUUUUCCACAAUGGGCGAAAGCCUGAUGGAGCAACGCCGCGUGCAGGAUGAAUGCCUUAGGGUUGUAAACUGCUUUUAUAUGUGACGAUUAUGACGGUAGCAUAUGAAUAAGGAUCGGCUAACUCCGUGCCAGCAGCCGCGGUCAUACGGAGGAUCCAAGCGUUAUCCGGAAUUACUGGGCGUAAAGAGUUGCGUAGGUGGCAUGGUAAGUAGAUAGUGAAAGCGUGUGGCUCAACCAUACUUACAUUAUCUAAACUGCUAAGCUAGAAGACGAGAGAGGUAGAUGGAAUUCCCAGUGUAGGAGUGAAAUCCGUAGAUAUUGGGAGGAACACCGAUGGCGUAGGCAGUCUACUGGCUCGUUCUUGACACUAAGGCACGAAAGCGUGGGGAGCAAAUGGGAUUAGAUACCCGAGUAGUC
RNAcentral lists this ribosomal RNA (440 nucleotides) under uncultured bacterium. RNAcentral's name for it is "partial 16S ribosomal RNA". It matches the Rfam family "Bacterial small subunit ribosomal RNA", at positions 339 to 795 of the family's 1533-position model. The record is from RNAcentral.